CGCGUAGGGGGCGAGCGUUGUCCGGAUUUAUUGGGCGUAAAGAGCUCGUAGGCGGUUUCGUAAGUCGGAUGUGAAAACUCCAGGCUCAACUUGGAGACGCCAUUCGAUACUGCGAUGACUUGAGUCCGGUAGGGGAGUGUGGAAUUCCUGGUGUAGCGGUGGAAUGCGCAGAUAUCAGGAGGAACACCGAUGGCGAAGGCAGAUCUCUGGGCCGUAACUGACGCUGGAGGAGCGAAAGCAUGGGGAGCGAACAGG
RNAcentral lists this ribosomal RNA (255 nucleotides) under uncultured bacterium. RNAcentral's name for it is "partial 16S ribosomal RNA". It matches the Rfam family "Bacterial small subunit ribosomal RNA", at positions 524 to 776 of the family's 1533-position model. The record is from RNAcentral.